GCGACGAUCUGUAGCUGGUCUGAGAGGACGACCAGCCACACUGGGACUGAGACACGGCCCAGACUCCUACGGGAGGCAGCAGUAGGGAAUAUUGGACAAUGGGCGAAAGCCUGAUCCAGCAAUGCCGCGUGUGUGAAGAAGGCCUAUGGGUUGUAAAGCACUUUCAGUUGGGAAGAAAAGCUUUUAGGUUAAUACCCUAGAGUCUUGACGUUACCAAUAGAAGAAGCACCGGCUAACUCUGUGCCAGCAGCCGCGGUAAGACAGAGGGUGCGAGCGUUAAUCGGAAUUACUGGGCGUAAAGCGUACGUAGGUGGUUGAGUCAGUCGGAUGUGAAAGCCCAAGGCUUAACCUUGGAACUGCAUUCGAUACUGCUCAGCUAGAGUAUAGUAGAGGGAAGCGGAAUUUCUAGUGUAGCGGUGAAAUGCGUAGAUAUUAGAAAGAACACCAGUGGCGAAGGCGGCUUCCUGGACUAAUACUGACACUGAGGUACGAAAGCGUGGGGAGCAAACAGGAUUAGAUACUACAAAGUGUCCCCCAGACUGGUGACAGUCUGGUGUGCAUCCAGCUAUAUCGGUGAAACCCCUAUGGGGUAAUACCGAGGGAAGCUAUAUUAUAUAUUAAUUAAUAGCCCCGUAGAGACUAUGUAGGUAAGGAGAUAGAAGAUGAUCAAAUCAUCUUUGUCGAGUCGAUGUAAAGAGAUAAUUCUUGGCUCUGUUCUGGGAGAUGGGUCAAUAAAGAUACAUAAAGGCUAUAAGAAUGCUCGCUUUUCGUUUCGACACUCGGUAAAAUCGAGUGAAUAUUUUUACUGGAAAGUAAAAGAAUUAGAAGAGUUAUCAAGCGAUAACUGUGUGUGGAAACAAUUGAAUAGUGGCUCUUAUGCUGAAGAGAUGCUUCGAUAUCAAAGUCGAGCACUUGAAGAAUUGACCCAAAUUUAUGAAUUGGUUCAUCGUCAUCAUAAAUUAAAAAUACGAAGAAAAUGGUUGAAUAGACUUAGUCCACUUUCUUUAUGUGUCUGGUGGUUAGAUGAUGGUUCAUUGGUUGCAAAUUGCCGUCAAGGGGUGAUAUGUACAGACUGUUUUUCCUAUGAUGAGUUAUUACUCGUAGUCAAAUAUUUUAGGAAAGUAUGGAAUUUAUACCCUAGUAUUGGCAAAGUAGCAAAAAGUGGACCCCGUUCUGAACAAUACCGAUUGUGGUUUCGUUCCAGAGAAGAGUUAAAGAAAUUUUUAAGGAUUAUUUUACCUUAUGUGCCAGUCAUAUCUAUGUUAUAUAAGGUACUUAUUCUUUACAAAGACCCACAACUGCAACAACGCUGGAUCUCUGAAGUAUGUGAAUUGUCAAAAUUUGGGCAAGAAGAAAUUAUGAUUUGUCUAAAUGAGCGUAAGAAAAAGAUUGCAUACUAUAAUUAAUGUUCAGAGAAUGAUAUAGUCCAAGCCUUAUGGUAACAUGAGGGCACUUGACCCUGGUAGUCCACGCCCUAAACUAUGAGAACUAGAUGUUGGGGGAAAUUGAUCCCUUAGUAUCGCAGCUAACGCGAUAAGUUCUCCGCCUGGGGAGUACGGCCGCAAGGUUAAAACUCAAAUGAAUUGACGGGGGCCCGCACAAGCGGUGGAGCAUGUGGUUCAAUUCGAUGCAACGCGAAGAACCUUACCUGGCCUUGACAUCCUCGGAACCUCGCAGAAAUGUGGGGGUGCCUUUUGGAACCGAGAGACAGGUGCUGCAUGGCUGUCGUCAGCUCGUGUCGUGAGAUGUUGGGUUAAGUCCCGCAACGAGCGCAACCCUUGUCUCUAGUUGCCAGCGAUUAGGUCGGGAACUCUAGAGAGACUGCCGGUGACAAACCGGAGGAAGGUGGGGAUGACGUCAAGUCAUCAUGGCCCUUACGGCCAGGGCUACACACGUGCUACAAUGGGUAGUACAGAGGGUUGCAAACCCGCGAGGGGGAGCUAAUCUCACAAAACUACUCGUAGUCCGGAUUGGAGUCUGCAACUCGACUCCAUGAAGUCGGAAUCGCUAGUAAUCGCGGAUCAGCAUGUCGCGGUGAAUACGUUCCCGGGCCUUGUACACACCGCCCGUCACACCAUGGGAGUGGGCUGUACCAGAAGUAGGUAGUCUAACCUUUCGGGGAGGGCGCUUACCACGGUAUGGUUCAUGACUGGGGUGAAGUUUAACGGCUUCCUUCACGAGUAAUCGUGUUGUAAAAUCCAACUAUAUCGGUGAACCCCUAACUGUACAAGCAGUGGGCAACGCCGAGGGAAGUUAGGAUAGAAGAUAGCAGAAUGUCUCAAACUAAAAUCAGUAAUAAAAUAAAGCAAACGCAGCUAAGUAGUUUUGAAAAAGAAGUCAUAGUAGCAUGUUUGCUUGGAGAUGGAACAUUGUCUCAAUCUGGUCAAUAUUACCGAUUGCGAAUUGAACAUGCUUCCAAAGAUAGGGAGUAUGUCGAGUGGAAAUAUAGCUUGCUAAGAAGGCUUUGUAUUUCUGGCAUUAAGGAUGUUCCUGCUCAUUCAUCACUUAGAUUCGGUACUGUAGGUCAUCCAGAAAUAUCUGAACUUAGGAAAACUUGGUAUCAGCCAGUAAAACAAGUACCCAAUAAAUUAAUAUUAACACCAUUAAUGAUUGCUAUUUGGUUUAUGGAUGAUGGUACUAAACACAGAGACACCGUUGAUAUAUCGGUUCAUAAUUUUUCUGAGAGCAGUUUGCAAAUUUUGAGAAACCAAUUAUUGAAUUAUGGUGUUUUGACUACCAUUAAUUCAGACUCAAAAGGACACAGAUUGUAUGUUUUGAAGAAAAGUUAUCCUAUCUUUGAAAAACUUGCUAAACCGUACAUUGUAAAAUGUAUGAUACGUAAGUUGCCUUAACCCCGUAGAGGCCAUACGUUGGCUCCUUUGAAAAAAGGAUGAAGACAUGGUCCGACACCCUCAGUAAUGCGGGAUAAAACAGUAAGCGUAACAAGGUAGCCGUAGGGGAACCUGCGGCUGGAUCACCUCCUUUAAAGAGAAAGGGACUCAAUCUACGACGUUGAGUAUCCACACAAAUUACUUGAUCGGAUAAAUAAAUCAAUGGGCCUGUAGUUCAGCCGGCUAGAACGCAUCCCUGAUAAGGAUGAGGUCGGUGGUUCGAGUCCACCCGGGCCCACCAAAAUAUCAGGGGGCUAUAGCUCAGCUGGGAGAGCGCCUGAUUUGCAUUCAGGAGGUCAGCGGUUCGAUCCCGCUUAGCUCCACCAAAAGGCCCCAUUAUCUAAUAUUAGUAUUUAGUGGUAAGCAUUGAUGCGUCAAUGCUUACCACUAAACAUUAAGUUUUAGUUAUUUAAAUGAUUUAUUGUUCUUUAAAAAUUAGGCAGCUGAUGUAAAGAAAUAAGAUAUUAUCUAUUUUACUCAUAUAGAUAACGUCUUGGGUAUAUUGCAUUCGUACAGCGCAUAUAUAAAUAUGUAAUAUGUAACUUCAGAAUUUUUGGGGUUAUAGAGUCAAGU
Molecule: ribosomal RNA, 3464 nt
Filed under: uncultured Thiomargarita sp.
Lineage: Bacteria; Pseudomonadati; Pseudomonadota; Gammaproteobacteria; Thiotrichales; Thiotrichaceae
Description: bacterial SSU rRNA
Rfam family: Bacterial small subunit ribosomal RNA (bases 1-1916)
Source: RNAcentral